AUGCCUUAAACUGAUGAGUAAGGAAAAUAACGACGCGGGGUGACGCCCGUGUCCUCGCUCAAACUCGCGAGAGAAUUAUUAGCCCUACAGUUACAGCAUGAAAUAUUAUUUAAACCUUACUA
This 122-nucleotide small nuclear RNA is filed under the name Sinocyclocheilus rhinocerous. RNAcentral's name for it is "U12 minor spliceosomal RNA (ENSSRHG00000020335.1)". The stretch from base 1 to 90 matches the Rfam family "U12 minor spliceosomal RNA". From Rfam's summary of the family: Although the U12 sequence is very divergent from that of U2, the two are functionally analogous. The record is from RNAcentral. Lineage: Eukaryota; Metazoa; Chordata; Actinopteri; Cypriniformes; Cyprinidae.